GAUCCUGGCUCAGGAUAAACGCUGGCGGCGUGCUUAACACAUCCAAGUCGAACGGAGUAUGUUUGGAAGCUUGCUUUUGGACAUACUUAGUGGCGGACGGGUGAGUAAUGCAUGAGCAACCUGCCUUCAAGAGGGGGAUAACACAUGGAAACGUGUGCUAAUACCGCAUAGACGUACGGACGGCAUCGUUUGUACGGGAAAGGAGUAAUCCGCUUGAAGAUGGGCUCAUGUCCGAUUAGGUUG
Molecule: ribosomal RNA, 243 nt
Filed under: uncultured bacterium
Lineage: Bacteria
Description: partial 16S ribosomal RNA
Rfam family: Bacterial small subunit ribosomal RNA
Source: RNAcentral